RNAcentral lists this ribosomal RNA (242 nucleotides) under uncultured prokaryote. RNAcentral's name for it is "partial 16S ribosomal RNA". It matches the Rfam family "Bacterial small subunit ribosomal RNA", at positions 524 to 765 of the family's 1533-position model. The record is from RNAcentral.
UACGGAGGGUGCGAGCGUUGUUCGGAAUCAUUGGGCGUAAAGGGCGUGUAGGUGGUCUGUUAAGUCAUGUGUGAAAGCCCCCAGCUCAACUGGGGAAGUGCGCAUGAAACUGACAGGCUAGAGUACCGAAGAGGAAGGUGGAAUUCCCGGUGUAGCGGUGAAAUGCGUAAAUAUCUGGAGGAACACCGGUGGCGAAGGCGGCAUCCUGGACCGGCAUUGACGCUGAGGCGCGAAAGCCAGGG